AGGAAAGUCCGGGCUUCACAGAGCAAUAAUAACGGCUAACGGCCGCCGGGGGCGACCCCAGGGAUAGUGCAACAGAAAAUAACCGCCAACCGAGUGCCUCAAAGGCAUUUGGGCAGACAGCUUUUUAACAAAGGCUGUUUUGGCAAGGAUGGAAAGGUGAGGUAAGAGCUCACCGGAGGGCAGGAGACUGCCCUGCCGUGUAAACCCUAUUUGAAGCAACACCGUGGAAGGACAUAUGCGCUUGCUCGGCGCGUCCUGAGGAGGUGGCACCGAGCGGAACGGGCAACCGUCCGCCAAGAUAGAUGGCUGUUCAAGACAGAACCCGGCUUACAGACGCAGU
RNAcentral lists this RNase P RNA (340 nucleotides) under uncultured Ruminococcus sp. RNAcentral describes it as "Bacterial RNase P class A". It matches the Rfam family "Bacterial RNase P class A", at positions 44 to 356 of the family's 367-position model. From Rfam's summary of the family: Ribonuclease P (RNase P) is a ubiquitous endoribonuclease, found in archaea, bacteria and eukarya as well as chloroplasts and mitochondria. Its best characterised activity is the generation of mature 5'-ends of tRNAs by cleaving the 5'-leader elements of precursor-tRNAs. The record is from RNAcentral. Lineage: Bacteria; Bacillati; Bacillota; Clostridia; Eubacteriales; Oscillospiraceae.